This 360-nucleotide ribosomal RNA is filed under the name uncultured soil bacterium. RNAcentral's name for it is "bacterial SSU rRNA". It matches the Rfam family "Bacterial small subunit ribosomal RNA", at positions 26 to 395 of the family's 1533-position model. The record is from RNAcentral.
AGAUUGAACGCUGGCGGCAUGCCUAACACAUGCAAGUCGAACGGGAGUAGCAAUACUCUAGUGGCGGACGGGUGAGGAAUACGUAGGAAUUUGCCCUUAAGUGGGGGAUAACCCGGGGAAACCCGGAUUAAUACCGCAUGACCUCGAAAGAGCAAAGUGGGGGAUCGCAAGACCUCACGCUUUUGGAGAAGCCUACGUCGGAUUAGCUAGUUGGUGAGGUAAUGGCUCACCAAGGCGACGAUCCGUAACUGGUCUGAGAGGAUGAUCAGUCACACCGGAACUGAGACACGGUCCGGACUCCUACGGGAGGCAGCAGUGGGGGAAUAGUUGGACAAGUGGGCGCAAGCCUGAUCCAGCAAU